RNAcentral lists this ribosomal RNA (421 nucleotides) under uncultured bacterium. RNAcentral describes it as "partial 16S ribosomal RNA". It matches the Rfam family "Bacterial small subunit ribosomal RNA", at positions 360 to 773 of the family's 1533-position model. The record is from RNAcentral.
AAUUUUGGACAAUGGGGGCAACCCUGAUCCAGCCAUCCCUCGUGUUCGAUGAAGGCCUUCGGGUUGUAAAGCACUUUUGGCAGGGAAGAAAAGGCUCUGGCUAAUACCUGGAGCUGCUGACGGUACCUGCAGAAUAAGCACCGGCUAACUACGUGCCCGCAGCCGCGGGAAUACGUAGGGUGCAAGCGUUAAUCGGAAUUACUGGGCGUAAAGCGUGCGCAGGCGGUUCGGCAAGAAGGAUGUGAAAUCCCAGGGCUUAACCUUGGAACUGCAUUCUUAACUGCCGGGCUAGAGUAUGUCAGAGGGGGGUAGAAUUCCGCGUGUAGCAGUGAAAUGCGUAGAGAUGCGGAGGAAUACCGAUGGCGAAGGCGACUUUCUGGACUUAUACUGACGCUGAGGAACGAAAGCGUGGGGAGCAAAC